GACGAAGGGGGCUAGUGUUGUUCGGAAUUACUGGGCGUAAAGCGAGUGUAGGUGGUUGUCCAAGUUGGAUGUGAAAGCCUUGAGCUCAACUCAAGAAAUGCAUUCAGGACUGGGCGGCUAGAGGACCGGAGAGGAUAGUGGAAUUCCCAGUGUAGUGGUGAAAUACGUAGAGAUUGGGAAGAACACCAGUGGCGAAGGCGGCUAUCUGGACGGUUUCUGACACUAAGACUCGAAAGCGUGGGGAGCAAACAGG
RNAcentral lists this ribosomal RNA (253 nucleotides) under uncultured bacterium. RNAcentral's name for it is "partial 16S ribosomal RNA". It matches the Rfam family "Bacterial small subunit ribosomal RNA", at positions 524 to 776 of the family's 1533-position model. The record is from RNAcentral.